Molecule: long non-coding RNA, 418 nt
Filed under: Piliocolobus tephrosceles (Ugandan red Colobus)
Lineage: Eukaryota; Metazoa; Chordata; Mammalia; Primates; Cercopithecidae
Description: lncRNA (ENSPTEG00000014569.1)
Source: RNAcentral
AUCUCUUCCCUAAGUAGGCCUGAGUCAGUGAAGAGCUUUGGAGGGCGGGACUGAAUGAGGUUUAAUCUGAGGAUGCGAUUGCUGACCAUUUGCACUUUGGCAUGGCCCAUCCCCUAAUUUCUGACCAGAAGCCCUCCCUGUACCCUAAGCUCGUGCGUCACGACGCCGCCAGCUGAUCGGAGCCUGGAGCCGGUGUGUGCUGGGCGCCGAGAAGAGACAGCGCCGCCGGCCGUGGGGAGAGGACGCAGUGAUUUGCUCCCCUCUGCGCAGCAACCCCCACACCCAGCACCAGGCCCCCAGAACUCUCCUUCCAGCUGAACUCCCUGGGAACAAGUCAUUUGGGCUGAUGCCUGAACUCAUAUUUCUGGACCUGAGGAGCCUGUUCCUCUCACACCCUCACCUGGCUGAGCCGCAGUAG